Molecule: non-coding RNA, 72 nt
Organism: Myotis davidii
Lineage: Eukaryota; Metazoa; Chordata; Mammalia; Chiroptera; Vespertilionidae
Source: Rfam
GGUGGUUCUCGGGUGACACAUCCUGGAAUCAGGCUCCCACUCUGGUUCUGGGUGUGUCACCCUAGAACCGCA